AUGUCUGGACCGCACAGGGGCUGUGCUCCUAGAGGGGCCGCCCAGCCUCCCACCCGGACGUUCUCCUGGCGCCCGGCUCCAAGCGGAGCGCAAGUUUGCGGACACUACCGGGGAUCUGGAGGGCUCUCGACCUCUGCGGAGAACUGCAGUGAGCUUUCAGGGAGUGCGAGGCACCCUGAGAGGCCAACCGGUCCCCGGCUGUUCCCCAGCGAGGUUGGCACAGCUGCAAGGAAAUGCCGCAGCCACACGCUAAACGAGUCACACGGAAACGAGCCAUCCGGGCUGAAAAAAGGAUGUUCAGUGUGGCUUUAAAAAGUAGAACCAGGCCUGCGAUCACCCGGCGGCGUGCACACGAGCUCCCGGCCUGCGCGGGAGGCCCCGGCCUGUGCGACAACAGACCAGGAAGGCCCCA
This 412-nucleotide long non-coding RNA is filed under the name Fukomys damarensis (Damara mole-rat). RNAcentral's name for it is "lncRNA (ENSFDAG00000023749.1)". Lineage: Eukaryota; Metazoa; Chordata; Mammalia; Rodentia; Bathyergidae. The record is from RNAcentral.